CAAAUCCCCCACACACCAAUCUGUAUGCACAAACCCGCUCCCCACUGGGUAGUACUGUACUUCUCACCGUCUCCAGCUCCUUCCAUCCACCUACCAAGUACCAACGCCCUGAGCCACCUCCCAUGUCCCCCAGCUGCUCCGGCGACGGCGAGUUCCGGCUCACCCUCAUCUUCCCCUCCGCGCCCCGGAGAGAUCAUGGUCUUCUUCACUGUCUCCCUGUCGCUCCGGCGAUGGCGUCCUGCGCUCCUCACCUGCCUGGAAAUCGCCCCGGCGAGGUCCGUCACCCCCUCACCUACCUACCCACAGCCCCAGCGUGGUCCUGCACUCCUGCGCCCCUCGCCUUUCUCCCCGCCGAUCCGAGCUCGUCUGGUCCUCACUCCCCAACACUGCCGCCAGCUCGAGCUCGGCAGCAUACUCGCGGGCGACCCAGCGUAGGCACCGAUGGAUGAGCAGGCGCGGGGACUUCUCCACCGGAUUACCUUGCACGGCCACAGUGCGUUCGGGGGACCCACACAGCCCACCUCUUCCUCCUGUUGUACAAGCAGAUUAACCGGAGAUCGCGGAGGGACGCUUUCUCCGGUGAAUGGUCGACACCAUUGCUCCAGCGAAUGGUCAGCGCCCCUCCAAGUUGAUGGUGUUGAACCAUUGAUCACCCUGCAGCUCACUGGUCGACGAUGCGCAGAUACCAAAACUCAGUUUCUGGAUGGGCGAGUUGUAUUCACAAAGCAAGGAAAGCCUGUAAUGCCACUGAAGGAUCCAACAUCUGAUAUAUGACUAUCAUUGCACUCAAAGGUUCUGUUCUGGUUCAGAAAAUUCGUGAAAAGGAGAGCCAGUGUUUCUGGGAUCUUGUUGGAUCUAAUCUUGGAAUUAUAUUGGGUGUUGAGAGAACGUCUGCAAGGUCAUAGUUUACCAGAAAGUGAUCAGGUAAACAGUGGUGGAACCGCUGGGAAGAAGUGCAGCUGCUUGCGUCCUGCUGGAGCCUGUCACGUGGCGUCGGCGUGAGGGCGAUAUGGCGGCAGGUUGACGACGGCGACAGGACUGCGUGGUGGAACGCGAGAACGGCGAGAGGAAAGCGCGCUGGACGGCGAGAAUUGCUGCUGGGCGGCAACGGCGAGAGGAAGGCGUGACUGACGGGACGGCGAGAACGGCGAGAGGAAGGUGUCUUGGACGGCGAGAACUGCUGCUGGGCGAGACGUGCUGCGGGGAGAACGGCGAGAGGAAAGCGCGCUGGACGGCGAGAAUUGCUGCUGGGCGGCAACGGCGAGAACGGCGAGAGGAAGGUGUCUUGGACGGCGAGAACUGCUGCUGGGCGAGACGUGCUGCGGGGUUUGACGAACGGUUACGUGAUAUGUUCCUGUAUCGAUCGAUGUCCUUUUUUUUCCUGUGGAGCGCUAGAGCAGACGUGGUCUGCUGGUUUGCUCCCAUCAAAGAUGUAAUAGAUCUCAGCUAUUGGAUAGGUGGAUUGAAGGGUUGAGAUUGGUUGGA
Molecule: long non-coding RNA, 1485 nt
Organism: Lolium perenne
Lineage: Eukaryota; Viridiplantae; Streptophyta; Magnoliopsida; Poales; Poaceae
Source: RefSeq, a predicted model, not a curated record